UUCUUUUAGGGUAAAUAAAAAGUAAAGCCUGCCCACUGAUUAUUGAAGGGCCGCGGUAUUAUGACCGUGCUAAGGUAGCAUAAUCAUUAGUCCCCUAAUUAGGGAAUUGUAUGAAUGGCUAAAUUCGGAGUAGUUGUAUUUUUUAUAAUUUAUCAAACUUUUGUUUUAUUUGAAAAUUAAUAAUUAAGGUAAGAAGACGAUAAGACCCUAUAGAGCUUAAUACUUAGUAGUUUAAAAGUUUAUGGGGGAUAAACUUUUAAACUACUAAGUAUUUAGUUGGGGCAACUAAAGAAUAAUUGUAACUUCUUUAAAUUAAUUGAUCUUAAUUUUUAAAAUUUAAAAAGUUACCUUAGGGAUAACAGCGUUAUAAUUUUUAAGAGUUCUUAUCGACAAAAUUGUUUGCGACCUCGAUGUUGAAUUAAAAAUUCUUUAAGGAGCAGUAUUUUUAUAAGAUAGUCUGUUCGACUAUAAAAUUUUU
RNAcentral lists this ribosomal RNA (478 nucleotides) under Willowsia japonica. RNAcentral's name for it is "partial 16S ribosomal RNA". It matches the Rfam family "Bacterial large subunit ribosomal RNA", at positions 1829 to 2597 of the family's 2925-position model. Lineage: Eukaryota; Metazoa; Arthropoda; Collembola; Entomobryomorpha; Entomobryidae. The record is from RNAcentral.